AACCCGACUCCGUGAAGCUGGAUUCGCUGUAAUCGCGCAUCAGCCAUGGCGUGGUGAAUACGUUCCCGGGCCUUGUACACACCGCCCGUCAAGCCAUGGGAGCCGGGGGUGCUUGAAGUGCGUCGCCGCGAGGCGCGCCCUAGAGCAAAACCGGUGACUGGGGCUAAGUCGUAACAAGGUACC
RNAcentral lists this ribosomal RNA (183 nucleotides) under uncultured bacterium. RNAcentral describes it as "partial 16S ribosomal RNA". It matches the Rfam family "Bacterial small subunit ribosomal RNA", at positions 1309 to 1500 of the family's 1533-position model. The record is from RNAcentral.